Molecule: ribosomal RNA, 253 nt
Filed under: uncultured bacterium
Lineage: Bacteria
Description: partial 16S ribosomal RNA
Rfam family: Bacterial small subunit ribosomal RNA
Source: RNAcentral
UACGUAGGUGGCAAGCGUUGUCCGGAAUUAUUGGGCGUAAAGCGCGCGCAGGCGGUCCUUUAAGUCUGAUGUGAAAGCCCACGGCUCAACCGUGGAGGGUCAUUGGAAACUGGGGGACUUGAGUACAGAAGAGAAGAGUGGAAUUCCACGUGUAGCGGUGAAAUGCGUAGAGAUGUGGAGGAACACCAGUGGCGAAGGCGACUCUUUGGUCUGUAACUGACGCUGAGGCGCGAAAGCGUGGGGAGUAAACAGG